AACGAACGCUGGCGGCAUGCCUAACACAUGCCAGUCGAACGAGACCUUCGGGUCUAGUGGCGCACGGGUGCGUAACGCGUGGGAACCUGCCCUUAGGUUCGGAAUAACUCCCCGAAAGGGGUGCUAAUACCGGAUAAUGUCUUCGGACCAAAGAUUUAUCGCCUUUGGAUGGGCCCGCGUUGGAUUAGCUAGUUGGUAGGGUAAAAGCCUACCAAGGCGAGGAUCCAUAGCUGGUCUGAGAGGAUGAUCAGCCACACUGGGACUGAGACACGGCCCAGACUCCUACGGGAGGCAGCAGUGGGGAAUAUUGGACAAUGGGCGAAAGCCUGAUCCAGCAAUGCCGCGUGAGUGAUGAAGGCCUUAGGGUUGUAAAGCUCUUUUACCCGGGAUGAUAAUGACAGUACCGGGAGAAUAAGCUCCGGCUAACUCCGUG
RNAcentral lists this ribosomal RNA (433 nucleotides) under uncultured bacterium. RNAcentral's name for it is "partial 16S ribosomal RNA". It matches the Rfam family "Bacterial small subunit ribosomal RNA", at positions 29 to 507 of the family's 1533-position model. The record is from RNAcentral.